GUUUCGGAUGCUCAGUCUCUGUUUUUUUUUUGCCUAUUUUCAGACGUCUUGUUUAUCACAUGUGGCUUUCCUUUAGACUAGGUAUUCUUAGCCAAAUUGCCAUAUGAGAAAUGGGACAUCAUGUCCUUGGAUAAGGAAAAAGACGAAGUGUAGUAUCUUAAUAGUUGAGAAUUCUUUUAUUAGACUCGUUUGAGAGAAAUAUCUUCUUCCUUGAUCCCUGCCAUGGAUUGCUAUACAUAUAUGGUUCUUGGUCAAGCAAAUCUUCAAUAAGAGCUCUUCAGUUGCAAUCAGAUCAUAAUCUUUACAUGCAUCUGAGAUAAUUAGUACGCUUUGGAAACUCAUUGCAUACAGAAAACAUGGCCUUGAAAUAAUUUGUCUUCGUAAUGACAAAAUCAAUUUGUUUCGUGUUUCUUCUCUAUUUGGUAGAACCACCCUAUUCCAUGAAUAUCAUUUCUCUUUGCCUUUCUUCCCCUUCUUUUCCAUUCAUUUUUUGUUGAUGACAUUGUGGAAUCUGUGAUUUAUUUAAGUAUCUUAUAGAUAUGCUGAAUGCUAAUAUUUGAUUUUCAGCUCCAAAGCCUCAUAGGUCAUGGGUAAAUCAUGCUUCUCAUUAGAUCUGCCUGCAUUGAUUCGUCCUGUUGAACACUCUCAUGCCUUUGCACAACUAGAAUUUCAUCAAGGGAUCUAAGGAACGAAGCGUGAUGUCCAUAUCAGUUUUUGCUGGGAUGUUGAUGUGUGUGCUGAGGGUUGCAGAUGUGAUCACCAGCGAAUUCAUGCUUUUAACCUUAUCAGAUUGUUUAGAUAAUUUUACAGCAUAAACCUGUACAUUUAUCAGUUUUCUGAGGUUAAUUUUUGUCAUCUACAUAAUUUGUGAUGUGUUUGAUAUGAGUUUUUCGAACUUUGAGGUAAUUCCGGGCACGCUAUUUUUGUACUGAGCUUUUAUAGUUAGGGACUAUGUCAUGUGUGAUCCCUAACAAUGAUGAAAGAUGUGAAGGACUUGCAUGUGUUUUGCAUGGAUUUCCUGAGAAAGAAUUGCAUUGAUUGGAUUUGAGCUUUCCAGUUAUGCCAAUUAUGUCCUAAAUACUGGAAUUUAUAA
Molecule: RNA transcript, 1093 nt
Organism: Eucalyptus grandis
Lineage: Eukaryota; Viridiplantae; Streptophyta; Magnoliopsida; Myrtales; Myrtaceae
Exons: 2
Source: RefSeq, a predicted model, not a curated record